RNAcentral lists this small RNA (116 nucleotides) under Marmota monax (woodchuck). Lineage: Eukaryota; Metazoa; Chordata; Mammalia; Rodentia; Sciuridae. The record is from RNAcentral.
GCCAGGUGUGGUGACACACACCUAUAGCCCCAGCUGCUCGGGAGGCUGAGGUGGGAAGAUGGCUUGAGCCAGGAGGACGAGGCCAGCCUGGACAGCAGGGUGAGAUUCCAUCUCAA